This 609-nucleotide ribosomal RNA is filed under the name uncultured bacterium. RNAcentral describes it as "bacterial SSU rRNA". It matches the Rfam family "Bacterial small subunit ribosomal RNA", at positions 338 to 947 of the family's 1533-position model. The record is from RNAcentral.
CCUACGGGAGGCAGCAGUAAGGAAUAUUGGUCAAUGGACGCAAGUCUGAACCAGCCAUGCCGCGUGAAGGAUGAAGGCCCUCUGGGUUGUAAACUUCUUUUGCAGGGGACGAAAAAAGGGAAUUUUUUCUCACUUGACGGUACCCUGGGAAUAAGCACCGGCUAACUCCGUGCCAGCAGCCGCGGUAAUACGGAGGGUGCAAGCGUUAUCCGGAUUCACUGGGUUUAAAGGGUGCGUAGGUGGGCAUUUAAGUCAGUGGUGAAAUCUCCGGGCUUAACCCGGAAACUGCCAUUGAUACUAUUUGUCUUGAAUAUUGUGGAGGUAAGCGGAAUAUGUCAUGUAGCGGUGAAAUGCUUAGAUAUGACAUAGAACACCCAUUGCGAAGGCAGCUUACUACGCAAAUAUUGACACUGAGGCACGAAAGCGUGGGGAUCAAACAGGAUUAGAUACCCUGGUAGUCCACGCCCUAAACGAUGGAUACUCGACAUCAGCGAUACACAGUUGGUGUCUGAGCGAAAGCAUUAAGUAUCCACCUGGGAAGUACGACCGCAAGGUUGAAACUCAAAGGAAUUGACGGCUGAGACGNGCGAGACGACGACGAGGAGGAGG